CGAGUCGGCAGGGCGGUCGCGGCGGGGUAACCCGUCGAGGAAAGUCCGGACUCCGUAGGGCAGGGUGGUUGCUAACGGCAACCCGGGGCGACCCGCGGGACAGUGCCACAGAGAACAGACCGCCUGGUGCGAUCUGCCGGUGCCUCUGGUGCCGGCGGGCCACGCCAGGUAAGGGUGAAACGGUGGUGUAAGAGACCACCAGCACCCCGGGUGACCGGGGUGGCUCGGUAAACCCCACCCGGAGCAAGGCCAAGAGGGAACCCCGGUCCACGGGCCAGGGUUCCUGCGCAGGCGUUCGAGGGCGGCCCGCCCGAGCCUGCGGGUAGGCCGCUAGAGCCUGCCGGCGACGGCAGGCCCAGAUGGAUGACCGCUCACCGGCCCUCGUGGCCGGGGACAGGAUCCGGCUUACAUGUCGACUCGUCCG
Molecule: RNase P RNA, 424 nt
Filed under: Actinophytocola sp.
Lineage: Bacteria; Bacillati; Actinomycetota; Actinomycetes; Pseudonocardiales; Pseudonocardiaceae
Description: RNase P RNA component class A
Rfam family: Bacterial RNase P class A
About the family: Ribonuclease P (RNase P) is a ubiquitous endoribonuclease, found in archaea, bacteria and eukarya as well as chloroplasts and mitochondria. Its best characterised activity is the generation of mature 5'-ends of tRNAs by cleaving the 5'-leader elements of precursor-tRNAs. Cellular RNase Ps are ribonucleoproteins.
Source: RNAcentral